GAUCCCAUGACCCUGAGAUCCUUACUGCAGUUGAAAUCAAGAGUCCUGAACACUUAACUGACUGACCCACUCAGGUGCCCUUAGGAAACACUGUUUUCUCCUCACUUCUCCUUAUUGAAGUGACCGUUUCAUACCCUUUCACUGGACCUUAGUUAUAGGUAAAGUAGCCAAAAGGAAAGGACUAAAUAUUUGGAAAAAGCAAGUUUUCCAGUUGGAAUAGACUCAGUUGAAAUGAGUUAUGAUUGUAAUCUGUUAUUGGAGGGUUGUUUCUAUUUCUUUCAUUAAGUUAACAGGUCUGUAUGAGAUGUAUUAAUGCUUGAUAUGUCUUUGCCCUUUCUUACCUUAUAGAAAGAAGCUAUAUUAUGUUUAAGCACUCUGGCUCAGAUUCAUGCACAGGUAGUUGAUACUAAACAAAAGCCUUAGACUACUAAUAAGCAGAAGCUAAGUAAAUAAGUAGGUAAGAGAAGAAAUUUCGAGGCUAUUUUCUUCCUUUGUUUUGGCAGUCACUUAACCUCUGGUGGAAUUCGCUGGCUUGCAGUAUGCUUACUAAGUAUUGAGUUUUUGUGUCAUCUUGAUUUAUUGAAAGAAUCCUACUGUAAGAUCUUGUGAGAAAAAAUAUUUGAAAAGUUUGAAAGACAUGAGGUAUGCUUUGGUGUGCUUGUUAUUAUUCUAAGGUAUUGAAAUUAUGUUCAGUGCUUUUUUUGUUUUUUUGUUUUUUUUGUUCAGUGCUUUUUUAACAGUAGUACAAGUCAGUAUCAACUAGAAAUGUUAUAUUCGUGUUCAUAACCAUAAGAAAAUGCGCCUUUUAGAAAAUAUGUGAUUGUGUUAAUCUUACUUAUCAUGGAGUUUGGUGGGUCCUCUUCUUCUGUGAGUUUUCAGCCUUCAUCUCUCACCUGGUUUCACAGGCCAUGCAUUUUCCAUUGGGCUUCAUAGCUUUAGGGCCAUGGAAGACUAAUGGAGUUAAGUAGUCUGAAGGGAACUUGGCUUUGUGAGUACUGUUUUAGAGUUAACUAGAUGCAAAUGAUUAUGUUAAAAUAACCAGAUAAUUACCCAAAGCUACAGCAAUAAAUUGACAGAUGAAAAAAAUAGGAAAAAUUACCCCCCUACCCCCACCCCAUCUAGGAAUGCUGUCAGCAGUUACUAAUAAUCCUGAUAGUUUUCUUACCUGGACAUCACUAGAUUGAAUUUGAGGAAGAUACAAAUUCAGGUCAGGCAGUGGUCAGUAAAAGUUAGGUGCCUUUUACAUUCUUGGAGGGAAUGUCUUCUGGGGUUCUGGGGAGAGAUCCAAGAACGAGCAUCCUGUGUAAAUUCCCAUGGAUGUCUUGAAAGUUUUAAACACAUCAAUUUAGUUUAGACAGAGUUUUUCAUAUCACAGCUUUUGCUUAUAAUAAAUGAGAGUGCCAUCUAUUUCCUAAAUUAGUGUUUUUUCUGGAAAUAAAAGUUGAUAGAUUCGUGUGCUUUUUGGUUAUAUUUAUAUAAUAUAGUUCCUGCCUUUCUAAUGCUGAGUAAUGUUAUUUUCUUUCAUUUUGAUAUAAGUCAUUCAGAGUAUUUUCAGAGAUGCCUGGAUGAGAACUGAAGCACAGGGCUUCAUGGCUCAUGUACAGUAAUGUCCAGUUGGCCUUACUCUUCCCUCUUCAGAGAGCUGUUUUCCUACUUCUGUGAUUUGUUCAGGACCUGGUUUCAUCGAGUGUGAAGUCAGCGGUAGUGAAUGUUAAAUGUGGAUUCUACUUAGUUAAUUAAGGGAUAAUAGGACUCCAGGCCUAAAGGAGGAUAUUUUCUGAACUUUACAGCUUUCUUUUUUUUUUUUUAAGUAUUCUCCACACUCAGCGUGGACUCCAGUGUGGGGCUUGAACUCAUGACCCUGAGAUCAAGACUGGAGCUGAGAUCAAGAGUCAGAUGCUUAACGGACUGAGCCACCGAGGCACCCCUACAGUUUUUUAAAAGGGCAAUAACAAAUCAUAUUUUGAACCCUGAGCCAAUGACUGGGCAACUCGUUUAUAACAUGAUUGUGGACAGUUUUGGAAAUGUCUCACACUGCUAGAACUUCUUAGGGAGAGGUUAGUUACUCUUCAUCAGUAAGGCAGCUUCAGGUAAACUCCAUGUAUUUACUUGGGACUCACCUAACCAAACUGCCAAGGUGUUUUUCCGAUCCUGGACACCCUGAGAAGAAAAGGCUGCUAAAAGUUCUUAAAACCUUCCCUAUCUAUUACCUUAGCUAUAUUAUAUUAACUGCAUUAUUAGCUAUUUACUAUAAUAUUAUAAUUGAUUACAUUACAUACUUAACAGAUUAUGUAAUUAUAUGUUAAAUACAUAAAUAUAAUUAUUUAUUAUAUUGGAUAUGUUAUUAAGUAUAGCUUCCCUAUAGUUGUUGGAAGUGAGAUUCUCCAUCUAAUCCUGAAGAAUAACAGAGCUGUUGGAGGAAGUUCUUUUUCCACAUCGCAGUAGGUUUAUACAAAAGCCUUAUUGGAAUUUUUAGGGGCUUAAUAGUAGAUCUUCUAAAUAUAUAUAGGGAGAAGACCUGACAAAAGCUUAUAGUCUCUUCUGGAAAUCAGGGCUCCUUGGUAGGGGUUUUAAAACCUGAGAAAGCGUUUUUUUCAUAUGUUUCUACAUAUAGUAUAAGAGUUUAUGGCAAGAUUACAUAGAUAUCUGCAUUGAAUGUUAACCACAAAGUUUAGUGCUUUUUAGAUAGGCCAAGAUGGUUUAAAAUGAAAUCUUAUAGUUAGUAUCUCACCUUCAAAGAAAGAAUUCUAAAUACUACAUGUAAAGAACAUCACAGUUUCUUUUUGACUGGCUGAUGGAAUGUGUGAGAAAGGAGAAGUUUAUGAAUUUUGAGUUUAGAGAACUACACAUUUCUUCCUUAAAACCUCCCAUCAUUGAAAUGCUGAACAAAUUAAGUUUUGUGAACCUCACUGCCUUUCUCAGACCCUGGAUACUUGCUUAUUUUUCUCUUUUUUGGAAGUGGGGAGAGAAUUGCGGGGGGUUUUGUUUGUUUUUGUUUUUUUACUUCCCUUUACAGCUCUGGGGUCUUUUAUUUCCCGUUUACAUUUUGGUUGUUAAUUCUAGUUAAAGGUCUUGCUUAAUGGGAACAAUGGCAUUCUUUGAGAAUUUAAUUUUAUCCUUUGUAAUGUUUUCAGAGCUUAAUAUUUUCCAUUUGUAAAAGCGUACACACUUCUGAGCCAUUUGAAAUCACUUAUGUGGCUGGGUUCAUGGCUCAGGACUUGCUGGUCUUUUAAAAGUCAUAUAUUAUCACAUAGUAAAAAAAGCUGACUUUCAGGGCAGAAUCCUGUGAUAGUUCUACUCUGGGUCAUAAGCCAUAUUUUAACAUGGAAAAUGAAUAGGAAAUGUGUGAAAUUUAAUGGCCUGUAAGUUACUGCUGUGAGAAAAGGAGAAAAUAUAUUCUAUAAAAGAACUUGCACAAAGAGUCUUUGGACACUUUGCAGUCUGUUCUAUUGUCACUAAGUUCUAUGAAUUGUUACCCCCUGAAGUCAGCCUGCUUUCUGUGUUCUUCACACCAGCAAACAGAAGCCAGAAUGUACAGUACUUUUAAUAAAGAGCUUUACAGAUAAGAAGUGCUGUACUACUCUUUCCUCGUAGCCAUAGCAUCGAUUAUGCCUACAGCAAAAUUGGGCUGAGCUUGUCACCAUGAAACAAUUAGACAAAAAGAAACACAGACUGAAAUUCAAGAAAUUGUUUCUGACUCUGAGAGAUAAUGAAGAUUCAUAUGGCUAAGGAGACUCCUCAGAGAGCACAAGGAGGGGGAGCAGCUGGCAGAGGGAGAGAGAGAAGG
Canis lupus familiaris (dog) is the source of this 3787-nucleotide long non-coding RNA. RefSeq lists it as uncharacterized. The record is from RefSeq and is a predicted model, not a curated record. NCBI's taxonomy places the organism in Eukaryota, Metazoa, Chordata, Mammalia, Carnivora, Canidae. The transcript is spliced from 3 exons.